UAAAAGAUAAGCUAAAUAAAGCUAUUGGGUUCAUACCCCAAUUAUGAAUAAAAUUCUCUUUUUA
This 64-nucleotide transfer RNA is filed under the name Ugyops sp. APL-2018. RNAcentral's name for it is "tRNA-Met". The record is from RNAcentral. Lineage: Eukaryota; Metazoa; Arthropoda; Insecta; Hemiptera; Delphacidae.